Molecule: long non-coding RNA, 212 nt
Filed under: Elaeis guineensis (African oil palm)
Lineage: Eukaryota; Viridiplantae; Streptophyta; Magnoliopsida; Arecales; Arecaceae
Description: long non-coding RNA (EGUI_LNC079565)
Source: RNAcentral
UUACAGUAGAAGCAUUUCGUCUGACUCUGGUCGAACUUGGAUUUUUUGGUCUGAUUGGGCUUGGGUGUCCCAGCACUUUGUACCCUUUUCUUAUUUUUCUUGUUCUUCUUUUCUUUUUUAAAGGAUAGAUAUCCAAAAGAAGACCUCCCACAACAUUCACCGACUCCUUUUGGAGCUAGUGAUACUUUCCAAAGUUUUGUAGCAAUCCCAGC